UUGAUCAUAAACACAUUGUUCUAAUACCUUUCCUUGCAGGAGUUUUGGUCUCUGUUCUCCAUGGCAUGGUCUACCAAUGCACCGUCCAAAUUGAUACAUGCCGAUUUGAUACCACCUGAUUUUUUCUUAUGGGGUCUUUUAAAGGACAAAGUGUAUCAACACCACGUACGCAAUUUGGCCAAACUACAGAAGCUAUCACCGAAGAGUUCUAUGGGUCUGUUAAGCUGCUUGUGACAAUGUUGCUCUUUGUCUCCAGCCAUGUAUCGAUUUGUAUGGUACAUUGGUGGACCAUGCCACGAAGGGCAGAGAUUGGGAUUCUUGUAAGGAGGGG
This 331-nucleotide long non-coding RNA is filed under the name Androctonus crassicauda. Lineage: Eukaryota; Metazoa; Arthropoda; Arachnida; Scorpiones; Buthidae. The record is from RNAcentral.